RNAcentral lists this ribosomal RNA (374 nucleotides) under uncultured Bacteroidales bacterium. Its description in RNAcentral is "bacterial SSU rRNA". It matches the Rfam family "Bacterial small subunit ribosomal RNA", at positions 41 to 414 of the family's 1533-position model. Lineage: Bacteria; Pseudomonadati; Bacteroidota; Bacteroidia; Bacteroidales. The record is from RNAcentral.
UACAGGCUUAACACAUGCAAGUCGAGAGGUAGCAGGGUAGCAAUACCGCUGACGACCGGCGCACGGGUGAGUAACACGUAUCCAACCUUCCCAUAACUCGGGGAUAGCCUUUCGAAAGAAAGAUUAAUACCCGAUAGUACUUUAUUAAGGCAUCUUAAGAAAGUUAAAGAUUUAUUGGUUAUGGAUGGGGAUGCGUUCCAUUAGAUAGUUGGUGAGGUAACGGCUCACCAAGUUUUCGAUGGAUAGGGGUUCUGAGAGGAAGGUCCCCCACAUUGGUACUGAGACACGGACCAAACUCCUACGGGAGGCAGCAGUGAGGAAUAUUGGUCAAUGGGCGAGAGCCUGAACCAGCCAAGUAGCGUGAAGGAUGACGG